RNAcentral lists this unclassified non-coding RNA (339 nucleotides) under soil metagenome. RNAcentral's name for it is "partial contains 5.8S ribosomal RNA, internal transcribed spacer 2, and large subunit ribosomal RNA". The stretch from base 1 to 120 matches the Rfam family "5.8S ribosomal RNA", at positions 35 to 154 of the family's 154-position model. The record is from RNAcentral.
GAUGAAGAACGCAGCGAAAUGCGAUAAGUAGUGUGAAUUGCAGAAUUCAGUGAAUCAUCGAAUCUUUGAACGCACAUUGCGCCCCUUGGUAUUCCAUGGGGCAUGCCUGUUCGAGCGUCAUUUGUACCUUCAAGCUCUGCUUGGUGUUGGGUGUUUGUCUCGCCUCUGCGCGCAGACUCGCCUCAAAACGAUUGGCAGCCGGCGUAUUGAUUUCGGAGCGCAGUACAUCUCGCGCUUUGACAACAAAACGACGACGUCUAAAAAGUACAUUUUUUACACUCUUGACCUCGGAUCAGGUAGGGAUACCCGCUGAACUUAAGCAUAUCAAUAAGCGGAGGA